GCUGCCUUCUGGUCAAGAUGUAGCCGGGACCACAUCUGUCUGCACACUGCCAUGCUCCUCGUCAUGAUGAUAAUGGACUGAACCUCUGAAAUUUUUGGCUCUUUUAAUUGGUUUAUUGAGAAUGGGCAGCCAGACCCCUACUUGGCACCGUUUGUGACCCUCAAGCUUGAUAACAUAGCACCUUCUUAGCACAGCUAUGUCAGAAUCCAGGAAACAAAGCAGUCCAUGAAAACGGGAAGAAACACACUUAUUUGGCCAGUACCUCCGUAUAAGGGCCAAGGACCUUCCUCAGCGGUGCUCUUGGUGAAGGGUUAAAGAACUAAAAACUACAGAUGGGCUGAGAAACUGGACUUGACUGAUAACACCCUCCGCUGAUGUUUACGUUGAGCCUUCGGGGACUCUCCCACCCUGAAAGUUCCCUUUUCUGCUUUAUCAAGACCAAAGUCCCCGGCUUCCUGGUGCAGACUCCACUGUAGCAGAGAGGAUGCUGCCCCUUCAUAGUUCCGAAUAAAGGACAACCUGCUUCUAGGGA
Long non-coding RNA from Peromyscus eremicus (cactus mouse), 532 nucleotides. RefSeq lists it as uncharacterized. The record is from RefSeq and is a predicted model, not a curated record. Lineage: Eukaryota; Metazoa; Chordata; Mammalia; Rodentia; Cricetidae. The transcript has 3 exons.